Molecule: non-coding RNA, 31 nt
Filed under: Mus musculus (house mouse)
Lineage: Eukaryota; Metazoa; Chordata; Mammalia; Rodentia; Muridae
Source: RNAcentral
UUGGACUUGAUUGAUUGUGACUUUUAAUUCC